RNAcentral lists this ribosomal RNA (900 nucleotides) under Penicillium brasilianum. Its description in RNAcentral is "SSU rRNA". It matches the Rfam family "Eukaryotic small subunit ribosomal RNA", at positions 69 to 978 of the family's 1831-position model. Lineage: Eukaryota; Fungi; Ascomycota; Eurotiomycetes; Eurotiales; Aspergillaceae. The record is from RNAcentral.
GCACUUUAUACUGUGAAACUGCGAAUGGCUCAUUAAAUCAGUUAUCGUUUAUUUGAUAGUACCUUACUACAUGGAUACCUGUGGUAAUUCUAGAGCUAAUACAUGCUAAAAACCCCGACUUCAGGAAGGGGUGUAUUUAUUAGAUAAAAAACCAACGCCCUUCGGGGCUCCUUGGUGAAUCAUAAUAACUUAACGAAUCGCAUGGCCUUGCGCCGGCGAUGGUUCAUUCAAAUUUCUGCCCUAUCAACUUUCGAUGGUAGGAUAGUGGCCUACCAUGGUGGCAACGGGUAACGGGGAAUUAGGGUUCGAUUCCGGAGAGGGAGCCUGAGAAACGGCUACCACAUCCAAGGAAGGCAGCAGGCGCGCAAAUUACCCAAUCCCGAUACGGGGAGGUAGUGACAAUAAAUACUGAUACGGGGCUCUUUUGGGUCUCGUAAUUGGAAUGAGAACAAUUUAAAUCCCUUAACGAGGAACAAUUGGAGGGCAAGUCUGGUGCCAGCAGCCGCGGUAAUUCCAGCUCCAAUAGCGUAUAUUAAAGUUGUUGCAGUUAAAAAGCUCGUAGUUGAACCUUGGGUCUGGCUGGCCGGUCCGCCUCACCGCGAGUACUGGUCCGGCUGGACCUUUCCUUCUGGGGAACCUCAUGGCCUUCACUGGCUGUGGGGGGAACCAGGACUUUUACUGUGAAAAAAUUAGAGUGUUCAAAGCAGGCCUUUGCUCGAAUACAUUAGCAUGGAAUAAUAGAAUAGGACGUGUGGUUCUAUUUUGUUGGUUUCUAGGACCGCCGUAAUGAUUAAUAGGGAUAGUCGGGGGCGUCAGUAUUCAGCUGUCAGAGGUGAAAUUCUUGGAUUUGCUGAAGACUAACUACUGCGAAAGCAUUCGCCAAGGAUGUUUUCAUUAAUC